Molecule: long non-coding RNA, 1226 nt
Organism: Papaver somniferum (opium poppy)
Lineage: Eukaryota; Viridiplantae; Streptophyta; Magnoliopsida; Ranunculales; Papaveraceae
Exons: 3
Source: RefSeq, a predicted model, not a curated record
AUUGAACAAAACCAUAACACUGCUCACGCCUUUUGUCUCGCUCUACGUUUCUAUCCUGGUUCACGCCGCCAUCACCGAUUCACCACCAUGACAAGCACCAUUCCAGAAAAGAAAAAAAGAAAGAAAACUCACAUCUCAAUAAUUCCAACAAUACCAAAAUUAUGCUCUUUAGAGAAAAUCAAUUUCUUAAUUUCGGUUCCUUGAUAUUGUUCAGUACAAAGAUUUUUAGAGAUAGUUAAAAUUUUAAAUGGCGAUCUUUCCACGGAAGAGCCAAAGACUUGUACCGAUGACAGCUGAGUUUUUUUUCAUUUCUGAAGUUUUUUUUUAAUGCUGAGAUUAUAUUUGGAUCUAGAUUCUGAUUCGUCCUAUGAUGUUUAAAGGUUGGCGACGGAAAGGAAACUGCUAGUGGGUUGACCUUACCAUGUUCUUAUUCUAUUGAGGGAUCCUCCUAAUUUAUUUUCCAGACAACCAUCAAUGAGAACAAAGUUGUUCAUGGAUGUCGUGAACUUCAACAAUUUUAUCAGGAGUUCGAAGUUACCUGAAAGCAUGCAAGUUAUAUGUAAUGAGAUGAGCUAAGAUUAGUGACUACUGCUUGUGCCCCUAAAUUUGUCUCCCUUUUCCAUGUUACGAUUGUCUGCGCUUUUUGAUGGUUCUCAUAUCCUGGAUAGAUGACUUGAAAACACAAUAUCCAUAUUGUUGUCAACCAAAAGGUUAUGUCCAAUGCAGAUGUGGGUUUCCACAUUGAAGAUGUGGCAAAUGAAUUGCACAUGGUGGAGAGCUAAUAUAGCGAUUGCUCAUAUAUCUCUUGGUGCAGGAUAUAUGUGACACUUUGUCCAAACCAAAUCUGUUAAGCAAUAUGUUAGCUAUUUUAUGCAUCAGAUCUUUAAGGUACAAUAGUCAUAGUGAUUAAGGUUAUCAAUUCUAUCCCCCUCACUCAUUUAUCUAUUGAUUCGGUAAUGUUUUUCAUAGCACAGUUACUAAGGAUGCCCCAUCGCGUCUCUAUGUAUUCAAAUUUUGGACAGUCAUUCCUCCUGCUUUUCAAAGGAAGCCACCUACAGGCUACAACUGAAGAAGGUUUCUGUCACGUGUUUGCCGUGCUGCCACUUGAUGUACUCAUGUAAUUUAUUUAUAUUGUGUGUAGUCGUUCUAUAAUGAUUUUUUAUUCUUCCCUCUUUACGUGUACGUGUAAUCGUUCCAUGUCUUCCAUAUAAUAAUUUUUUUUUUUU